This 277-nucleotide unclassified non-coding RNA is filed under the name uncultured fungus. RNAcentral's name for it is "partial contains 5.8S ribosomal RNA, internal transcribed spacer 2, and large subunit ribosomal RNA". The stretch from base 1 to 52 matches the Rfam family "5.8S ribosomal RNA", at positions 103 to 154 of the family's 154-position model. The record is from RNAcentral. Lineage: Eukaryota; Fungi.
AACGCACCUUGCGCUCUUUGGUAUUCCGAAGAGCAUGCCUGUUUGAGUGUCAUGUAAUCAUCAAUCCGACUUUGCUUUUUGCGAAGCUCGGACUUGGAUUUGGAGGUUCUUGCUGGCUUUCCGUCGGCUCCUCUUGAAUGCAUUAGCUGGACUCCGUCGCGGUUCGCGGUGUGAUAACUUAUUCACCCUUGGACUUCGAAGUGAGACCGGCUUCUAAAGCCCCCCUUUACUUUGACCAUCUGGCCUCAAAUCAGGUAGGACUACCCGCUGAACUUAA